GUGCUCGCUUUGGCAGCACAUAUACCCAAAAUUGGAAACAAUACAGAGAAGACUAACAUGGCCCCUGUGCAAGGAUGACAUGCAAAUUUGUGAAAGAAUUCCAUAUUUUU
This 110-nucleotide small nuclear RNA is filed under the name Vicugna pacos (alpaca). Lineage: Eukaryota; Metazoa; Chordata; Mammalia; Artiodactyla; Camelidae. The record is from RNAcentral.